UGCCAGCAGCCGCGGUAAUACGGGGGGUGCGAGCGUUAAUCGAAAUUACUGGGCGUAAAGCGUGCGUAGGUGGAUAUUUAAGUCGGAUGUGAAAGCCCCGGGCUCAACCUGGGAACUGCAUUCGAUACUGGAUGUCUAGAGUAUGGUAGAGGGAAGUGGAAUUUCCGGAGUAGCGGUGAAAUGCGUAGAUAUCGGAAGGAACACCAGUGGCGAAGGCGGCUUCCUGGACCAAUAUUGACGCUGAGGUGCGAAAGCGUGGGUAGCGAACAGGAUUAGAUA
This 279-nucleotide ribosomal RNA is filed under the name uncultured bacterium. RNAcentral describes it as "partial 16S ribosomal RNA". It matches the Rfam family "Bacterial small subunit ribosomal RNA", at positions 506 to 784 of the family's 1533-position model. The record is from RNAcentral.